Molecule: ribosomal RNA, 481 nt
Filed under: Enterobacter hormaechei
Lineage: Bacteria; Pseudomonadati; Pseudomonadota; Gammaproteobacteria; Enterobacterales; Enterobacteriaceae
Also listed under: 1 other name
Description: partial 23S ribosomal RNA
Rfam family: Bacterial large subunit ribosomal RNA
Source: RNAcentral
UGGUGGGUAGUUUGACUGGGGCGGUCUCCUCCCAAAGAGUAACGGAGGAGCACGAAGGUUGGCUAAUCCUGGUCGGACAUCAGGAGGUUAGUGCAAUGGCAUAAGCCAGCUUGACUGCGAGCGUGACGGCGCGAGCAGGUGCGAAAGCAGGUCAUAGUGAUCCGGUGGUUCUGAAUGGAAGGGCCAUCGCUCAACGGAUAAAAGGUACUCCGGGGAUAACAGGCUGAUACCGCCCAAGAGUUCAUAUCGACGGCGGUGUUUGGCACCUCGAUGUCGGCUCAUCACAUCCUGGGGCUGAAGUAGGUCCCAAGGGUAUGGCUGUUCGCCAUUUAAAGUGGUACGCGAGCUGGGUUUAGAACGUCGUGAGACAGUUCGGUCCCUAUCUGCCGUGGGCGCUGGAGAAUUGAGGGGGGCUGCUCCUAGUACGAGAGGACCGGAGUGGACGCAUCACUGGUGUUCGGGUUGUCAUGCCAAUGGCACU